Molecule: long non-coding RNA, 356 nt
Filed under: Setaria viridis
Lineage: Eukaryota; Viridiplantae; Streptophyta; Magnoliopsida; Poales; Poaceae
Description: long non-coding RNA (SVIR_LNC006406)
Source: RNAcentral
AAUGUAAAAAAUUGAACUCGGAGCACAAUUUGAUAGGAAGAGACUUUGGGAGAGCAAGCUAGGCUAGAGAACGAGAAGGGCAAGAUGGCGACUAAUUCGUUUGUCAACUCGAGGCACUAAGGUUAGUCUCAAUAGAAAGUUUUAUAGGAGUUUCAUGAGCAUUAAAUUGUAUGUCACAUCAGCAAUUUUGCUGAUAUGGCAAGUCCAUUAUGAGGAGAGAGAAUGGAGAGUUUCAUCGUACCUGAGAGAAGUUUCAUCCCCAUGACACUCAUCAUGCACAAUUACCAAGACAAGUUCACAAUCUUGGUAAGUGUACAAUAAAACUGUGCAUUGAGACUGGCCUAACAAACUACCCC